Myodes glareolus (Bank vole) is the source of this 910-nucleotide long non-coding RNA. RefSeq lists it as uncharacterized. Lineage: Eukaryota; Metazoa; Chordata; Mammalia; Rodentia; Cricetidae. The record is from RefSeq and is a predicted model, not a curated record.
ACUUCAUCUGUCCAGUACUUUUUUUUAAAAUUUAUUUUUUCUAUUUCUUUUUUGUUCUCCCCCUCUCCUUUCCCCUCCUUCUCCCUCUCUUUCUCUUUUCUUUUGAGACAAACAUCUUAUUAUGCAAUUCUGGCUGGCUUGGAAUUCUAUGUAUACCGUACUGGCCUCAUACUCAAAACGAGCCUCCCGUUCUCUCUCAAGAGUAAAGAGCUUGCUGUAGAAGCGUGAGGACCUACAUUUGUAUUUCCAACACCACAUAAAAAGCCAGUGGUACAUUACAUGCCUGUAAUCGCAGUGCUGGAAGGAUCCCUGAAGACACCUCUCCUCAAAAUCAAGAAAUAUUUUGAUGUUCCAGUGAGUGAACAAAUACUUCUCAAGAAUGUGCACUGUAUCAGGAAAAUAAAAAUAAACAUCUUGAGGAAUUUAAAGAUCUCUGGACAAAUAAACAUCCAAAGAAAAAGGGAGAACUACUUGGAAAAACUUACUAAGAAAAGGAAUAAUCUGACCUAAUGCCAUCUCUGAAGUCUCCAAAAAGAUGAUGGAAUCUCACAACGACGAUACCACCUGGAUUAUAACACCACUAAGCUGAAAAACCUAUAGAUCGGCUUUGGAAUACAAACUGCUCAGAACAAUUUCAAGAUGGCCACUUGGUGAUCCAGCCUCACAGACUACUCUAGCCAGGACUUGAGACAAGCUCUGUACUUUCCCAUUACGGAGACUGGACAACAAAUGAUAAAGAGACAUUUCUAUUCCUGGUAGCACCAAUCUACUUCAGAGAAGAUGAUGGGCAUCGAAGAAACUCAAUAUGGAGUUUACUUCCUUUGUGGCAAAAGCAAGCCACUGGGCAAGAAAGUGCCCUUGCGUCAAUUGCUGACAGUAUGCUGUCCUAGCUGGAGAAGCAGGACACAAA